RNAcentral lists this ribosomal RNA (222 nucleotides) under uncultured bacterium. RNAcentral describes it as "partial 16S ribosomal RNA". It matches the Rfam family "Bacterial small subunit ribosomal RNA", at positions 28 to 247 of the family's 1533-position model. The record is from RNAcentral.
GACGAACGCUGGCGGCGUGCUUAACACAUGCAAGUCGAGCGGUAAGGCCCUUUCGGGGGUACACGAGCGGCGAACGGGUGAGUAACACGUGGGUGACCUGCCCUCAGCUCUGGGAUAAAGCCUGGGAAAACCGGGUCUAAUACCGGAUAUGACUCCAUGACGCAUGUUGUGGGGUGGAAAAGCCUUGUGCGGCUGAGGAUGGGCCCGCGGCCUAAUCAGCUU